UAAAGCUAUACUCCGGGAUUCACCUAAG
Molecule: small RNA, 28 nt
Filed under: Bombyx mori (domestic silkworm)
Lineage: Eukaryota; Metazoa; Arthropoda; Insecta; Lepidoptera; Bombycidae
Description: ovarian small RNA-18338
Source: RNAcentral